AGCAGAAAUGUAACCCUGUUUACACUGCAUUGUUGUCUUCUGGGAUUUAAAUCCCUAUUAAAAAUGCUGCAUGCUGGUCUUACUUUGAGCUCUGCAUGCAGUUCACCUGUCAGUUUGAAGCCACUAAAAUGGCCCCAGCUGAAAGGGGAGAGCCCCAGGUUACAUGGGAUCUACGCAUUUAGUUAAAUGCAUUUGAAUGCCAAUUGAGGA
Non-coding RNA from Pelobates cultripes (western spadefoot toad), 210 nucleotides. Lineage: Eukaryota; Metazoa; Chordata; Amphibia; Anura; Pelobatidae. The record is from the annotation of a GenBank genome assembly.